GCGAGCGAAAAGAAAAUAGUUCAGCACUAAGUCAUUUUGCUUUUAUGGCAAAUAUGAGAUGCAGUGUAUGGAACAUCUAUAAUCUAGUAUGAAAUAUUAACGAUUUAAGUCCUUCUUAAAUGAGGCCAUUUACCCAAAGAGGGUGCCAGGCCCGUAUAACGUUAAUUAUUAUUAGAGGAUGAUUCCAAAGAGUCGUGUUGCUUGAUAGUGCAGCACUAAGUUGGUGGUAAACUCCAUCUAAAGCUAAAUAUAACCAUGAGACCGAUAGCAAACAAGUACCGUGAGGGAAAGUUGAAAAGAACUCUGAAUAGAGAGUUAAAUAGUACGUGAAACUGCUUAGAGGUUAAGCCCGAUGAACCUGAAUAUCCAAUUAUAGAAAAUACAACAUUAUGAUUUAUAAUAUUUAAAAAAAAUAAUAUUAUGAGAAUAGUGUGCAUUUUUUCUAUAUAAGGACAUUGUAAUCUAUUAACAUAUAAAUAUAUAUUUAUCAUAAAAUCAUUAAGAUUAAUGUUUAUUCAAAUUAAUAUAUUAUUAUAUGUUAAUGUCGAAUAAAUUCUUAUGAUUUGAUAAAGUGUUGAUAGAUUUAUUAUAUAAUAGUGCUUAAAUUCUUAAUGAAUUUUUUAAUUUCAUUUAUAAUCAAUUAUGAUUUUUAUGUUUAUUAAAUGCACUAAUAUGAU
Molecule: ribosomal RNA, 677 nt
Filed under: Australoconops phaeomeros
Lineage: Eukaryota; Metazoa; Arthropoda; Insecta; Diptera; Conopidae
Description: eukaryotic LSU rRNA
Rfam family: Eukaryotic large subunit ribosomal RNA
Source: RNAcentral